RNAcentral lists this ribosomal RNA (306 nucleotides) under uncultured bacterium. RNAcentral describes it as "bacterial SSU rRNA". It matches the Rfam family "Bacterial small subunit ribosomal RNA", at positions 28 to 333 of the family's 1533-position model. The record is from RNAcentral.
GACGAACGCUGGCGGCGUGCUUAACACAUGCAAGUCGAGCGGUAAAGGCCCUUUCGGGGGUACACGAGCGGCGAAACGGGUGAGUAACACGUGGGUGACCUGCCCUCAGCUCUGGGAUAAGCCUGGGAAACCGGGUCUAAUACCGGAUAUGACUCCAUGACGCAUGUUGUGGGGUGGAAAGCCUUGUGCGGCUGAGGAUGGGCCCGCGGCCUAUCAGCUUGUUGGUGGGGUNAUGGCCUACCAAGGCGACGACGGGUAGCCGGCCUGAGAGGGCGACCGGCCACACUGGGACUGAGACACGGCCCA